This 458-nucleotide ribosomal RNA is filed under the name uncultured bacterium. Its description in RNAcentral is "bacterial SSU rRNA". It matches the Rfam family "Bacterial small subunit ribosomal RNA", at positions 29 to 524 of the family's 1533-position model. The record is from RNAcentral.
AGUGAACGUUGGCGGCGUGGAUUAGGCAUGCAAGUCGAGCGAUCGUAGCAAUACGGGAGCGGCAAACGGGGUAGGAAUACAUCGGAACGUACCUUUUGGUUGAGAAUAGCGUUGGGAAACUGACGGUAAUACUCAAUAAAGUCGAGAGACCAAAGGUUUACUGCCGGAAGAGCGGCCGAUGCGAUAUUAGGUAGUUGGUGGGGUAAUGGCCUACCAAGCCUGAGAUGUCUAGGGGGUGUGAGAGCAUGGCCCCACCACUGGGACUGAGAUACUGCCCAGACACCUACGGGUGGCUGCAGUCGAGGAUCUUCGUCAAUGGGCGAAAGCCUGAACGAGCGACGCCGCGUGCGGGAUGAAGGCCCUUGGGUUGUAAACCGCUGUCAGGGGGGAUGAAACCGUAAGGUUGACAGAGCCCCAGAGGAAGCACGGGCUAAGUUCGUGCCAGCAGCCGCGGUAAU